Molecule: ribosomal RNA, 316 nt
Filed under: uncultured eukaryote
Lineage: Eukaryota
Description: partial large subunit ribosomal RNA
Rfam family: Eukaryotic large subunit ribosomal RNA
Source: RNAcentral
AUAUCAGUAAGCGGAGGAAAAGAAACUAACAAGGAUUCCCCUAGUAACGGCGAGCGAAGCGGGAAGAGCUCAAAUUUAAAAUCUGGUAGCUUUGCCUAUCCGAAUUGUAGUUUAAAGAGGCGUUAUCUGGGUCUAGUCUGGUGCGCAAGUCCCUUGGAAUAGGGCGUCACAGAGGGUGAGAACCCCGUUUGGGCACUGGGCUAGGUCCUCUAUGAGGCGCUCUCUACGAGUCGGGUUGUUUGGGAAUGCAGCUCAAAAUGGGUGGUAAAUUUCAUCUAAGGCUAAAUACUGGCAAGAGACCGAUAGCGCACAAGUA